This 496-nucleotide ribosomal RNA is filed under the name uncultured bacterium. RNAcentral's name for it is "partial 16S ribosomal RNA". It matches the Rfam family "Bacterial small subunit ribosomal RNA", at positions 28 to 507 of the family's 1533-position model. The record is from RNAcentral.
GAUGAACGCUGGCGGCGUGCCUAAUACAUGCAAGUCGAGCGAACGGACGAGAAGCUUGCUUCUCUGAUGUUAGCGGCGGACGGGUGAGUAACACGUGGAUAACCUACCUAUAAGACUGGGAUAACUUCGGGAAACCGGAGCUAAUACCGGAUAAUAUUUUGAACCGCAUGGUUCAAAAGUGAAAGACGGUCUUGCUGUCACUUAUAGAUGGAUCCGCGCUGCAUUAGCUAGUUGGUAAGGUAACGGCUUACCAAGGCAACGAUGCAUAGCCGACCUGAGAGGGUGAUCGGCCACACUGGACUGAGACACGGUCCAGACUCCUACGGGAGGCAGCAGUAGGGAAUCUUCCGCAAUGGGCGAAAGCCUGACGGAGCAACGCCGCGUGAGUGAUGAAGGUCUUCGGAUCGUAAAACUCUGUUAUUAGGGAAGAACAUAUGUGUAAGUAACUGUGCACAUCUUGACGGUACCUAAUCAGAAAGCCACGGCUAACUACGUG